AAGUUGUAACAAGGUCUUCGUUGGUGAACUAGCAGAGGGAUUAUUACAGAGUUGUACAACUCGCUAAACUAUUGUAAACCCUACCUCCCUGUUGCUUUAGCGGGAGGCACCCCCGUCGCCCUGCAAUAGGCUACUUGUAGGGUGCCUCUAGGCCCUGCGUAGGCGCCUGCUAGAAUAAUUUUAGAACCUCUUAACAGUAUAUAGCCUCUCUAAGUCUUACUAAAUAAGUCAAAACUUUCAACAACGGAUCUCUUGGUUCUA
RNAcentral lists this unclassified non-coding RNA (261 nucleotides) under fungal sp. Its description in RNAcentral is "partial internal transcribed spacer region". The record is from RNAcentral. Lineage: Eukaryota; Fungi.